AACUUAUGUAAUUGAAAAUUUUCUCUAUCUCUCUUACCUUUUGGGACGGGAUUUCUAAGUUCUUCAAUUUGCCUCUAGAGUUGCUGAAACCACUCUGUUGAUAGCAAUUGAUAUCACUUUCCUAUAUGUAGACCUUACUUCUAAAUUGCUAGAACACUUCAAUUUAAAGAGAUGCAUAAGGACUUUUCUAGGAACUCUGUAUAUCUAAACAAACAUAUUCAGAAUUCUCUUUCCAAACAUAAAAAUAUGGAUCAAUCUUGAUUCCAGUGAAAUGGGCCUUUUUUAAAAAAUAUCAUAAAAUCUUGAAUAUUAAUAUUCCUCAGACUGAGUUAAUCCAUAAAUGGUUCCCUUUGCAAGAAACACUUCGCUCAAAUCAUCAUUGUAACCAGGUGAAUGUUUCAUAUACAGUUAUCUCUCAUUCUACCAACCUUCGGUUUACAAGUUUUCGAAAACAAAAAGCAGAAAUCUAUAUCAUGUUUCAAUCCACUCCCAUUUUUUCUUUCAUCCAAUUUCAUUUCCUUCUCUCUCUUCCAACGGUACAAUCGCAUACAUCGCAAAUCCCAGCAAAAAAUGAUACCGAUCGAUAGGAGGGUGGAGACAGGCCAAAUACCCCUAACGAAGUAGGGAGUCAAAGGUUUACGAGAUAUAGAGGCUGAAAGUGUUUCACAAAGCGUGUAGUUUGAUACUGCUUGGUCUGGCUAGGGUAUGCAGCGCGAGGCAUCCUCUUCCCACGCUCCGCUAUCUAUGCCACUAGUGAAACUUUUAAUUUCUAUAUCUGGUUAACCAUUGAUUCCUAGUUCAUUAGGGAUAUUUUGCGUGUCUGGACUCUCCGUAUCGAUCCGUACCA
Molecule: long non-coding RNA, 847 nt
Filed under: Androctonus crassicauda
Lineage: Eukaryota; Metazoa; Arthropoda; Arachnida; Scorpiones; Buthidae
Source: RNAcentral